RNAcentral lists this ribosomal RNA (162 nucleotides) under Trema lamarckianum. RNAcentral describes it as "5.8S ribosomal RNA". It matches the Rfam family "5.8S ribosomal RNA". From Rfam's summary of the family: 5.8S ribosomal RNA (5.8S rRNA) is a component of the large subunit of the eukaryotic ribosome. It is transcribed by RNA polymerase I as part of the 45S precursor that also contains 18S and 28S rRNA. Lineage: Eukaryota; Viridiplantae; Streptophyta; Magnoliopsida; Rosales; Cannabaceae. The record is from RNAcentral.
CAAACGACUCUCGGCAACGGAUAUCUCGGCUCUCGCAUCGAUGAAGAACGUAGCGAAAUGCGAAACUUGGUGUGAAUUGCAGAAUCCCGUGAACCAUCGAGUCUUUGAACGCAAGUUGCGCCCGAAGCCAUUAGGCCGAGGGCACGCCUGCCUGGGCGUCAC